AAAGCCGGCCUGAGGGAGCGUUCGCCAGUUGCUGCUUGGGACGCGGGCUGCGCGGUUGGUGAACAGCCUUGCCGUUUUGCUGUCACGUACCUUCCCUGAGCCUGGGACGGAGGGGGCGCGCGCGUGUGCGUGUGUUGUGUGAGGGACAGCGGGACUCGGGCAGGGCCGUCUCCUGAUCCCUUUUCCCUUAGCGGAGGCGGCAGUGCGCACGCUGGUUUGCUCGCCGCCCACUUGGGAGCGGGCUCAGGGUGCGGAGUGCGUCUUCGGUUUUGUUUUUUGGUUUUUUGUUUUUUUUGAACUUGUGAGAGUCUUUUUCCCCUCCCUUUUCCAUUUUUAUUUUCUUUUGGCUCCGUGCCUCUAGGGCUGGUUUACCCGGCCCCUGAAUUACCGCUUCCUGACCCCGGUCGCCAAUCUUGCCCCAGGUUGCUCCCCGGCUCUGCCCCUGCCCCUCCCCGAGGGUGGGAAGCCUUGCCUAGUGGGUCUCUGAAGCGUAGCCGCACCUGCCUCAGUAUGCACGGGGUCAACGACCCUCCACUUUUUAUAAAAGACAUUAAGGCCGGACUGAAAAACUUAAAUGUCGUCUUUAUUGUCCUGGAGAUAGGACGAGUGACCAAAACCAAAGACGGCCAUGAAGUGAGAUCCUGCAAAGUAGCUGAUAGAACGGGAAGCAUCACUAUUUCUGUGUGGGAUGAGAUCGGAGGGCUCAUACAGACAGGGGAUAUUAUUCGGUUGACCAGAGGGUAUGCAUCAAUGUGGAAAGGAUGCCUGACACUUUAUACUGGAAGAGGUGGUGAACUUCAAAAAAUUGGAGAAUUUUGUAUGGUGUAUUCAGAAGUGCCAAAUUUCAGUGAGCCAAACCCAGAUUAUAGAGGACAGCAGAAUAGAGGGGUACAAAAUGAACAGAAGGAUAAACUGAGCACCAAUACAUUUGGACCAGUGGGAAAUGGUGAUCAGACUGGCCCUGAAUCUAGGGGAUAUCAUCUUCCAUAUGGCAGAAGCAAUGGUCCGGGACCUAUCAGUCCACAGCUACCAGGAACACCUAGUAGUCAAACAGUCAGGACCACAAUAAGUAACGCCAGAGAUCCGAGGAGAGCCUUUAAAAGAUGAUCUAAGCCAAAGAGACACAUGUAGUUUUUAAACUACAUGACCUACUUGAACACUUAGUGCACUUUUAUUUAUUCUUAACUGUGAAAACUUUGUCUCUUACGGGUUUCCUUUUAUAUUUUUGGUUUGUUGAAAAGAGUGGUUGGUUUUUACUGAAAAAACUGUUACACUGCUCAGUUACAUCCUAUUGAAGAAUAGGAACUCUGAAAGCAGGAACAUUUAUUUUUUGAGCAAGAACUUACUGGGUAUCACUUGAAAACCUGUCCCUGUUUCGAGGGUGAGUUACUUAAGACACCAGCUUAUAUAUAGCCUCUGUGAGUCUGGCUUCUGCAUAAACUUUGUAAUGUUUGUCAUAAUGUUUAAUGGAACUUGUCUUAAACUUGAAUAUUGCCACCUGAAGCAAUAACCACCCCAAGCCAGAAACUUGGACAGCAUUGUCAACAUUUUUGAGUAUUCCUGAUCUAGGAAUGGCUUGACUCCCUAGAGUGUCUGCCUGCCAUAAGGAUUUUUUCACAGACAGAAUCAGAAUCAUCCUAAACUCUUGUUUAUUGACCAGAUAACCAAAUUCUUCAUCAGAAUUAUGGAAUAAAAUAUGUAAUAUAACAAGUAAUUUUUAGAAGAAAACGGUUUAAGAUGAUGCUCUUAACAUUUGUUGCAAACAUUGAAGUUUACAUUGAAGAAAAAUUUACAACUGAGUCCCUGAAUGCUUUAUUUUUGAAGUUACCAUGUUAAAUAUUGAAGUGUAAUUGGAGGGAUUGAAGAGAGCUAUAACACCUUUAUUGGACAGUGGUCUCAUUGAUACUAGUUGUAUUUUUGAGGCAGGGUCUUUCUCUGUGCAGCCCUGGUUGGUUGGAACUUGUUAUAUAUAUAUAUAUAUCAGGUGGGUCUCUGAACUAUAGAUUGACCUGCCUCUCUCUUCCUGGAGCUGGGAUUAAAGUUGUGUAGCACCACACAAGGCUAAUCUGAUUAUUUUUAAAAAAAUACUCAUGGUAGUUACUAUAGCAAAUACAAAUCAAAUUAAAUUCAUAUAGCCAUGUGACUACCAGUUGCAAGUAGUCGGGUAGAAGUAGGCAUUUCCUUUCUUCCAGGAAUGUGUGUGUUUAAAGUUUUUGAACAAGUCACAUAGCCUUACUAGCAAAAGUUAAAUGGCUCAAGAAGUGAUUAUACUUCUGUUGAGGUGGGAUUUGUGUGAUGGAACAUCACUUACAGUGGGUGAUUGGUAAUUUUUUUCAUUGUUAGUAUUUGUCUCUCCUUAAAUAUUGUCUCUUGAGUAAAACUUGCUGUAAUGAUGACAUAUCUACCUACUUAUUUUUACUUUCAGUAAACAUGGAGAGCCCAGUCCAUUUUACUGAAGUUGUAUUCAUCUUCAGCUUGACUGCUCCCUAACUCUGUACCUGUCAUUUCUCCUUACCUCAUAUUGUAAAAUAAGAAAACUUCUAAAACCAAAGCAAGUGAAAUCCAAACAGUAAUGAAUAAUUGCCUUUCCAGUCUGCUUGGAUACCACUCAUCAAGAAGUUACUGAAAAAAGUGUCAACCUUCCUCCUCUCUGGUGUCUUCAGUUAUCAACGAUGACAAAUUUCAAUAAGACCCAGUGAAACACAAAACAUAAUAUAGAAAUGCACUUCUAGGAUUGGGUCCCCAUUACUGUUUCUAGGCACAGUUCUGGAUUAGAACAAACACAUGAUCAGACUAGCCUUGUCCCUUAUUUUUCUGGCCAGGUUCACAGGGAGUUGCCACAGGAUAGAAAGUAAAAUGUAAAGUCUAAAUGCCCAAAGGCUGAAGUUUGCCUUGCAGAAGUACUUUUAAAGAAAAAAAAAGUUUCAUGUAUUUACUAUGUAUACAGUAGUCUGUGUGUAUGUAUGCUUGUGUGUUAGAAGAGGGCACCAGAUCUCAUAGAUGGUUAUGAGCCACUAUGUGGUUGCUGGGAUUGAACUCAGGACCUCUGGAAGAACGGCUACUGCUCUUAACCCCUGAGCCAUCACAGAAGUAUAGUUUCCCUUACUUUACCAACUCUGUUUUGCUUUUUCUUAGUAGUCUUAGGAACUGUGUUAAACAUGAAGAGUGAUUAAUUUUUAAAGGAUAGUUUGAAGGUUAACUCACUCCUUUUUUAUUUUUUUAAACUUGAGAUUACAUCCCGAGUGUUCUUUACAGUCAGUGGAGUUGCUGAAAUGCUUCCCCUAUUAGGUAUGCUAGUGAGCAUAAUGGCUGUUUGCUUGAAGCCAAUUUAGGUUGUGUGUGACUCGUGAGGUUCUGAUGACUGUGAAAAGCACUGGAAACACUUUCCCAAACAGGCAUGUGCCAAGCUAGCUCUGACCUCACUGAGGUCUUGCCUCUCUUUGUUUAAAGCCUGAUACUUAGUUCUCUUUCUCUUACCCAAUGAAAGUGGUAGAUACAGAGAGAUACUUGGGCAUGAUGAGAUCCUUGUGUGCUGAAACCCUAGACAUUGAUUACAAGUGGGAGUGAUUAAACAGCCCCACAUCUCAUGGUUGUAAUGAUUAACACUUCAGGCAUGUUUCUCUUAACACCUAAUUGUGACCUUUGGAAAUGCACUAUCACUGAUGUAUUAUUAUAUCCCAAGGAAGAAGCUAGAAGAUUGUUUUCUAGGUAUAUUUAAGUUUGCUAGAUGCCUUGAGGUUUGCUUUAUUGGGAAUAUACUAGAAUUUGGAUCAGAAAGCUUUAGCCAAAUUAUGCCAAGUUUUGUUAUGCACAAAGACUUAAUAUUUCUGAAAACACAAAUCAGACUCAAGAUCAAGUCCAUUAAGUUACUAAUAAGCAUUUUUCCACACUAACAUUAGGCCCAAAAGUACUACUAAGACCUAGUUUUUACCUUUGUGAGGUGUUCAAUAUAACAUUUCAACCAGUAGGUCUUUUAGCCAUUUGAAGAGUAAAAGUAUAGAAUCCAACACUUUAUGAUAUACCCCAAACAUUAGGAAGUGGGUGACAGUUCUUUGUUGUUCUGUAGUAGCCUAGUUCGGCAGAUUUAUUGACACACCCAUACUGAAGGGCUAUAGGCAUAUUUUAAAAAGCGGACUGUUUCAAGCUAGAAAUUAAAGAUUCUAUGCCUUCUAAGAUUAAAAACAUCUGGAUCCAAGCUAGGACAGCUUGUUCACAAACGAUGGAGUAAUCUUGAAAAUCUGGUUUUAAGUCCCAUACAUGAAGCUUUUCAGAAGGGUGGAUUGCCACUCUUAUCUGGAAGGGAACUUAGAACUUGCAUCAAACACUCUGGAGAGCUUUGUCUACUGUUCUUGCUGUCUCUCUUUUACAAGGAGGUUAUUUUCGAAUUCUCUGUUCCUUUCCCGUAAAUCUAGAAUGUACUAAAUUGUGUUGAGCAGUGGAAAAUGUACUAGAAGAAUGUCCAAAGCACAGAGUAACUGAAGCAAGUGUUUCUGAGUAGAAAUAAUUAGCCCCUCUACAUAGGAGUGCUGGAAAUUUUGAAUUAGGUUAAAGUAGAAUCACAGAAAUUAGAAGAGCAAAGCUGGGGCUGGAGAGAUGGCUCAGCUGUUAAGAGUGCUGACUACUCUUCCAGAAGUCCCGAGUUCAAUUCCCAGCAAUCACAUGGGGGCUCACAACCAUCUGUAAUGGGGUUUGAUACCUUCAGCUACAGUGUACCCCAUACAAAGAAUAAUUUUCAAAUAGUUUAAAAAAAGGUAAAGCCGAGAUUGUAUCUUUUCCACCCUGACCAUUAUGUUCUGUGGCUUAGCCCAGGAAGUGGAUGUUUGUGUCUUCUGUCAGCUCAAUGAAAAAGAUGAAAUGUCAAAGUGGGGUUGGAAGCAUUGACGUUACUGAAUGCACACAGCACACAUCUUCAGAUUUCAAUCCCACCUUAGGCACAGUUCCCACAUGAGUUUGAAAUAUUUAGCACUAAGACUUCAAGUUGCUGGACUAUUUGGACAAAAGUCAGCACUAGGGCCAUCUACUGGUAAUUACUGUGUAGUUUCUGUGGCUGAAUCUGGUUUAGCCAGUUUAAGGUGGAGAAAGUCCAUUACCCAACAGGAUAAAUUUGAUUUGAUUUAUGAAGGAAAUAGAUGACAUUAAGAAAUGAUCAUAGGAAAUUGGGAAAUCUCCUUAUGAAGACUGCCAAGAUUGUUUUUUCAAGAUUUAAAAAAAAUGGACUUUUACCUGAAUGUUUAGAUGUGUACCAUAUGUGUUCCUGGUGACUGUGGAGGUCAGAAAAGGGCAGCAUAUACCUUGCAACUGGAGUUGAGAUAUUUGUGAGCCGCCAUUUGGGUGCUGGGAAUUGAACGCAGGCUUUCUGUAAGAGCAGCAGGUGCUCUUGAGUCUUCUCCCUAACCUGUACUAAUACUGUCAGUGUUAGUGAAAACUUGCUAAAAAUGGGGUUUUGGUGAAAAUGAAGUAGAACAUGAAGUUCUUAGGAACUAUUUCAUCAGGUUUUUUUUUUUUUAAAUGCCAAAUGACUGUUGCUAUUUUUGUAGUUAUAUGAACUUUGCAUAUCAUAACUCAAAUGUAAGAAUGUAAAGUGAAAACAAUUUUGAGCUGGAAAGAUCUUGAUUUGAGUCCUGUAUCUGUUAUUGUACUAGCUUCAUGGCUGUGAGUCUAUCAGAGGAUAAAGCACUAUUUGAGGAAUCUGAGCCAGUGUAUACAAAGCACGUCCAUGUUCAAGGCUCAACAAAUAUUAAACCCUUUAUAACGAUCAGAAAUAAGAUGAAUACUGUCAUUUCUCCAUACCACUUGGAGAUAAUUCAGAAAAAGGUAAUUGAAUAACAAGAAAUUUAUGAGUUUAAAAAAAUAUUGGAGGUGAGUUACAUGUAGUGUGGGCUGGGCUUGAGCUGUUGAUCUUCCGGACACAGACAAGGCAAGAACUACCGUGCCCAACUCCAAUUGAAAACUUCUAAUUACAAGUUUUUGUACAUUUUCUUGGUGCAGAAAAGCAUGUAUGUUGCUGAUCUGCUGUGACAGUACAUAGGGUUGGCUUUCAUUACAAAGCUCUGACCAACUAGUCAAAUGGAUCACAGCUUUUUUCUCCUUUGCCCAAGAGGGGCCUCAAUCUGUCUAUGAAAGUGUAGCCGAAGAGGGACCUCUUGUGGGCAAACGUUUGGGCUAGAGGACAAGGUCAGUGGGUCAGAGGAUAGGCAGCAGGUACACUAGAAGGCAUUCCUACUUAGAUAUCAUGAUGUGUAUUUGCAGGUGUAGAGCAAUUUGCUUAUAACUACAGCCUUGAAUAAUGUUUUCAACAGUUUUUGAAAAAUAUUGAACUUUACAGACACCUGUGUUCAUUUAAAUUUUGUAUUAGCAUCCAACUUUCCAUCUAUCAGUCAAUCCAUCUGGAACCAUUUCAAACAGUAGAUUUUUCUUGAAUAUUCCAACAUGGCUGUUCAUUGGAAUUUUCAAGUUUCAGGGUAAAUUUAUAUACAACGAAAUGCCCUAUUUUAGGUGCACUUUGUGGCUUUUAGCAAAUGCCUCACACUCACGAAAUACCAUAAAAAUUCAAAAUAGUCACUUGUCUAGAAAUUUCUGUUAUGCUUCUUAAAACCAUAUGAAACUAAAGUUCCUACUAGCCAUCAAUAAAUGUUAGAAGUUUAUUUCAAA
RNA transcript from Mus musculus (house mouse), 6651 nucleotides. It is a transcript of the gene named nucleic acid binding protein 1, with no coding region annotated. The transcript is spliced from 7 exons. The record is from RefSeq and is marked validated. Lineage: Eukaryota; Metazoa; Chordata; Mammalia; Rodentia; Muridae.